UACUACUUUAAUAAGCAUAUAGGAAGGACAAAAAUGUCAUUUGCCACUUUACAAGCAUUUCAAGCACAUUGUACAAUUGCUCAAUGCAUGAAUGAUUUUGAAUCUUUCAACACCCCUGAAGUAACUUGGGCUGGCUUUCAAAACCUUGAAAUAUCUUGGGCGGACUUUUCAAAUUUCAAAAGCCCCAACUUUUCAAAUCCCGAACAAAACCUACAUCUCUCCCCUCCCCAAAAUUCAAACCCACCUUUUCAGUAAACAACAAUCUAUUCUCUCAAACCCUAGCCUCCUCCACAUCUCCAAUAUUCUCCAUCCGGUCUCUUCCCCUGCACGCGAAGAACCAGAAACACACAGAUUAGAAGAAACCCUAACUGAAUCAAUCAUCCACGUUUGUUUCGUUACCAUCACAGAGUCAAUCAUCCACGUUUCUAUCUCAGAUCUGCCGUUCAAUUCAUCUCUCAUCCAUCCACGUUCUAAUUUCAUAAUGGAUUAAAGCAUCCAUUUUAAAAUCUCAGAUUUCUGGUUUAAUCUUCUAGUAUGUUAUGAUUUUUGUUUCCCCUUUCUUGAUUUUGAGAACUGUUAAAUGACUGAUGCUUUUUGCACUUGAUUUUCAGAACUGUUAAAUGACGGAUGGUUUAUGCAGGGAACUUUUGAAGUUAGGUUUUAAUGUUUGGGCUAGGGUACGAAGUACCCAGAGCAGCACAUAUGGUGGCUGACGGUGUUCUACGAACAGCAUGGGUGGGGUUCUGGCGAGUCGAACUUGACACAGCGAUGGCUAUGGAUUCCGGCAAUGGAAGAUUUGGGGAUUUAGGGUUCUGUUGUUUUUGCCAUUCCGGGAGGACUUUAUAUCUUAUUUUUGUUUGAUUAUGAUUAUUCAUGUCUUAAAUGUAGCUUAAGAAGUCAUGUCUUAGAUAUACUAGCUGCCAAAUAUGCCUAAGAGAAUAAAGUCCCAAAACUCUAAUCUGGGUAGAGUUGUAGAUCCAGUCACUAAGAACCAAGUUAUCAAGGUAAGGUUUAAAAUUCAAGUUCAUCAUAUUUCUGAUUUUCUAUAAGGGUUUAAAGGUGAUUGGAGGAUUAAAAAGCAUUUUGUGGUAAUUAUCCAACUCUGGCGAAAGCUAACAUGAACAAAAGGGGAUUCAAGAAAAAGUUUUGGGUAGUUGGUUGUUAACAGGAGAUAAAAACUUUGUACCUUUCUACUUUUUCAGAAAAUAGGAAUUUUAGUUACAAAAUUAUGUCUUUACCAAGACUUAAGGUAAUCACAAAAUACUAAAUCAUUUUCAAAAAUAAAUCAUAUGUUUGAUAGUUUAUAUUUUACUCUGAAUCGUAGCCCUGCUGACAGGAAGCUAUAAAGUUUUGGAAGAUACAAAAUGAUGCAUGUUUAACAUGGAAAUCAAAUGCCAAUUUCAUCUUACGUUCAACUAUCUUUUGUUCUCUUCUUCUAUCUGUACCAACCAUGUGUUCCUAAAAUGUCUUUGGGGAAAAACAAUGUGCAUGGUAGUAGAAAGGGUAAAAUUGGCUGGUUUGAUAACAUGCCAAACUCGUAAAUUUUUUUAUGCAGGUUGUGGGUUUGACUGACUGACCGACUGUAAACAUUAAAAAAGCAAUUUUCAAAUACGUUUAAUGGGUCAAAUGUGAUUACAAAAAGUAUUUCAAUUUAGGGAUGAGCACGGUACCGGUACCAAAAAAUGGAGAACGUGGGUACCGAUACCCGGUACCAAAUGCUCAUCCCUAUUCAAUUCUGUAGGAUUUUUUAAAUAUAAGGAUUUGGGUUUGGACUACUUGCAAUCUGCCUGAUCCAAUUGUUUUUAAGUUAUAUUUAUAUUACUUUAUUCUACACAGAGAUUAGCUACUAACAUUAUAACUCGAACUCACCCUUUCAUUAGUAAAAGAUUCUUAAAAGAAGUAACAUGUUAGUUUUGUUCUUUGGAACCUGCUGAAUAAGGGAUUCUUACUGGUGGAUUGGAGUUACCUUGGUCACAUAAUUAGGCUUGUCUAUAAUUACUAAUUAUUUAUUUGUUUUCAUGUUUUAUAGACUUUUCUAAUCUUGACUUAUAAUUGGGUGUGCUUGUAGCCGUUUCCAAUCACUCAUGGCGUUCUUUUCAACAAAUAUAUAAUGGUUAACAUUCGUGACAGUAACGGGUGCAGGACAGGAAGUGCCAUUGCAUCACCCAUGACGAGCUUAUAUACUUUUUUGGUCAGUUUUGGAGUACAUGGUUGUAUCUGAAAUCUAAUGGGUCUACUGGGUAAAAAUGGAACAUGUCAAAUGGGUCGAACGGUCAGAUGUGACCUGAAAUAUAUUUUUAUAAUUAUAGUUUUAUAUAUUGAUUAACUAAAUAAAUUAAGUGGGUUGAACAGGUCAAAAGUUACCUGCAGUUGAUUCGCUACAAAUGAAUGUGGAAAGAAAUGAAAAGAAACGCAUGUCGGAAAGAAGACAGAUGGAGCCAAGUAUGAAUUCAUUCUAGAGGAAGUUGUUGCAAUUAGAAGAACAUUUACGUGAAUGAAAGAUUAUCAGCUGGAUGGAAACAAAGAAAUGGUGGCACUAGGCUCCAUGAACACUAUUGGUUCUUUUACAAGUUGUUAUGUGGCCCCAGGAUCGUUAAUAAGCAACAUUCUAUUCAUGGAACUUCUGUAUUGGUGCAAGUUUGUCUGAAUUUUAACCUUUUGAUAUGUUUGUGAGUUGUACACGAAAUGUUAAGAAAGACAAGUUUGGUUGAACGUUUUAGCAUGUUAGGAAAAAACAAUCCAAGGCGGAUUUGUUUGAUUAGUUUUGAGCUUAUGGUUUUGCUGUUGUUGGUUUAGCGCAGUUCAGUUGUUUACAUCCUUUUAAAACUCUU
Helianthus annuus (common sunflower) is the source of this 2831-nucleotide long non-coding RNA. RefSeq lists it as uncharacterized. The transcript has 4 exons. The record is from RefSeq and is a predicted model, not a curated record. NCBI's taxonomy places the organism in Eukaryota, Viridiplantae, Streptophyta, Magnoliopsida, Asterales, Asteraceae.